This is a long non-coding RNA of Leopardus geoffroyi (Geoffroy's cat), 3003 nucleotides long. RefSeq lists it as uncharacterized. The record is from RefSeq and is a predicted model, not a curated record. The transcript is spliced from 3 exons. NCBI's taxonomy places the organism in Eukaryota, Metazoa, Chordata, Mammalia, Carnivora, Felidae.
ACAAACUGAACCACAAGAUCAUGACCUGAGCUGAAGUCAGACACUCAACUGACUGAGCUACCCAGAUGCCCUGCAAAUCACUCUUAAGUAGAGAGACCCACUCAGACCUGGGGAGAAGGAGUCAUGUCCACAUGACGCUCAGAACCCCAGUGGCUUUUGCAUUUGCAUAUCCCAAAGACGGGAAGCAAGAUGGCUUAACUCAAGACCUUUGAAUCUCCCCCUCCUUGGCUGCUAUGUAGGAGAUUCUCUCCCAGACACGAAGCUUCAAGAUGAUCAUUCUAAUGGAUUCCGAAGCACAGUGUGUAGAGUGGGAAGCCUUUGGACUCUGGGUUUCCUGUGUUGUGGUCUAAAACCUGUUCAGUCAAGUCGAAUUGUACUGGUAUUCUGCAGUUUGUGUUGGGAGCCCAUGGCCAGCUGUUUAUUAUUUUAAAAACUCUGGGUUGCUGCCUUUAUGCAUGGGGGUGGGAGGGCAGCCUACUGUGCAAGGCGGCUGCCACCUUCUUCUGGGAAUGACAAUGUUGCUCUGUAUACUCCACGGGGGCCCCUCAGGCAGAGCUACCGCAUUCCGGAGCUCUUCCCAGCCAGAUGAACAGAGACUAUUUCAUCUCACCAGUUAUCGAGACAAAGUCAGGGCUCUAGCAAUUGUGUUCCUCCCUGUCAUAUAACCUUUACAUGAGGAAGACCCCACUAAGGCCUUGAGACCAGGACACUCACAGCUUCACCAGAGUACUGGGGAAACGUGUUCACACUGGGCUUUAUGAAACACACUCUUGCCUUCCUCACCUUUCAAAAUGUGUCCCUGCUGGGUGCCCCAUGGUAAGAAUGUCUCAGUGUCCCACUGGAACAUUUGUUAUUGCCCAAUCCAGCUCAACACCCCUUCCAGCCAUGUCCCAAGAAGCCAGCGCUGAGCACUUGAAAUAAAACAGAGCGAUGUCCUCGAGCUGUAAAUGCCUCCCAAAGACAAACGGACAGAACUUCAUUGUUUCAGGGAAGAAGGCGCCUCACAUAGCGGUCACAUUGUGGUUACCGGGGGCCCGAUGAUUAAUCCACAGAGAGGAUGUGCAGGAGAGAGGAGCUGGCAUCAUUCCUGCAGAUGAAGAUUCUUUAAAAUUUCACGUCUCUGACUGAACAUGUGCCCCAGAAACACAAGAUUUCCAUUGUUAAGGUCUCUUUGGUGACCUCAUUUUCCCAGUCGUGAGUUGGCAUGGCAUGCAGCUCUGAAUGGGACCUUUUGUAACUGGAAAUUCCACGGUUCCAGCUGCCCCUGACUCUCGUCCAUGCCAGACGACAUCCCCAGAGACUUUGAAGUUGCAUGUUUGAAUGAAGCACAGCCCCACCCCACCUCUCACCCUGUGUGCCUGCCCACAGUAUCAGUCAGACUCUGGGAGAGCAGUGGGACCAGCUUCUGGCUACCAACAGGAAUCCAGCACAGUGUUGUGCCUAUGCAAGGAUAGAUGAAUGAGUGGAGCUCUGAGAGAUGAGGCCCCUUGUGGACGGGCGCUUGAGGACAUCAGGCCACUUUCCUUGCAUCUAUGAAGUCAUACCAUGUUGGCUGACACCUCAUAAGCCUGGACACAAUGCAAGUAUCCCAAUAUGUUAAACUUAUUUGUCCAUUUACAAUUUCAUUCGAUGUUUACUGAGCACCAACUUUCUGUUAGGUCAUGCUGGGGAAGAUAGCAGAAUGAAAAAAUGUAGUCUCUGUCUCAACAAUCCAGGUGGGAGAAGACUUGAGUUUCAUGCAGAAAGCAAGAUAGCAAGGAAUGGACACUUAUCUCACCUGAGGGAUAUCUAUGAGAAGACUUCCUGAGUGGGAUGGCUUUGAGUUGCUACAAGGAUGUAGUAAGAAAUAAAAAUCCUUAAAGGCAUUAAGCAACAACCACAGCAACACUGUUUUUUUCUAUAUUCACACCAACAUUUCUGACAGCAGAUGGGUGGGUUUUUCCACACGAAGCAAUUCUCUAGUUCUCGGCAGUCACCAGUUGAGUGUCCUACAAUUUAAAUUGCUACACUAACUGGACAGACCGCACAGGUUAAGAGCUUAGUCCACAAGACUGUCCCCCACUUCAUAAACCAAUUGCAAGGCCUGGGUUGUCACCUGUACUUCUAACUGACUGGCCAUAAAUGGGGGUUCCCACAACUCCUCCUUGGAUUGGCACAUUUGCUAGAACAGGUCACAGAACUUGGGAAAACAGUUUACUUACUAGUGUACCAGUUUAUUAUAAAAGGAUGCAACUCAGGAACAGCAAGAAGGAAGAGAAGCAAGCAUAGGGCAAGGUGGGAAGGGGUUCAUGGAGCUUCCAUGCCUUCUCUGGGUUCACCACCCUCCCAACACCUCAAUGUGUUCACUAACCAGGAAACUCUCUCUACCCUGUUGUUUGGGGCUUUUGUGGGGGAUUCGUUACAUAGGCAUGGUUGCUUAAAUCAUUGGCCACCGGUAAUUGAAAAUCUCCAGCCCCUCUCCCCUUCCUGAGGAGGGUUGGGGAAGGGACUGAAAGUUACAACCCUGUAAUCACAUGGCUGGCUCUCCUGGAAGCAUCCCUCCAUCUUUUGGAGCUUUCCACAAGUCACCCCAUUAGUAUAAACUCACGUAUGGUUGAAAGGGAUAUAUUAUGAAAAAUAAAAGAUGUUCCUUUCUCCUCUAUCACUCAGGAAACUCCAAGAGUUUGGCAGUUCUGUGCCAGGAAUUGGGAACAAAGAUCAAGUAUACACUUCUUAUUAUAUUACAGUAUCACAGCUUUCCAUGCAGACGGGGCAGAGCAAUUAAAGCAGAGCAGGUGUGAAAAAAAAUGUGAGGUGUGGCUAUAAUAACGAAUUUCUGUAAGAGGGUGGGAAUGAGCUUGAACAAUCAGUAGCAGCCUUGCUGUGUUAAUGAGUUUGAAACUAUAUUAUUCUCUUGUGGGGGCAUGGAUAGUAAUUAUACUUUACACACAUAGAAUGAUUCUGUGAGCAGUAAGCAGUCUGCUUUAUGUGAAUGAUCUCAUUACAUAUUUGCUACCACUCUGA